UCCGGUUUAACACCGGCGGUCUCCAUAGAGUGCCCAACUGAAUGAUGGCAACUAGGGAUAAGGGUUGCGCUCGUUAAGGGACUUAACCCGACAUCUCACGAUACGAGCUGACGACAGCCAUGCAGCACCUGUCUCCCAGCCUCCGAAGAGGAAGCCCUAUCUCUAGGGUUGUCUGGGGAUGUCAAACCCAGGUAAGGUUUUUCGCGUUGCAUCGAAUUGAACCACAUGCUCCACCGCUUGUGCGGGCCCCCGUCAAUUCCUUUGAGUUUUAACCUUGCGGCCGUACUUCCCAGGCGGGGUACUUAAUGCGUUGGCGUCGACACUGCAGGGGUCAAUUCCUGCAACAUCUAGUACCCAUCGUUUACAGCGUGGACUAC
RNAcentral lists this unclassified non-coding RNA (377 nucleotides) under uncultured Oligoflexales bacterium. Its description in RNAcentral is "contains 16S-23S intergenic spacer region". Lineage: Bacteria; Pseudomonadati; Bdellovibrionota; Oligoflexia; Oligoflexales. The record is from RNAcentral.